Molecule: long non-coding RNA, 519 nt
Filed under: Capra hircus (goat)
Lineage: Eukaryota; Metazoa; Chordata; Mammalia; Artiodactyla; Bovidae
Description: lncRNA (ENSCHIG00000005985.1)
Source: RNAcentral
CGGCGUGCCGGAUCGAGUGUGCCUGCGUGCUUAGUCGCUCAGUCGUGGCCGACUCUUUUGCAACCAUUUGGACUGGAGCCCACCAGGCUCCUCUGUCCAUGGGAUUCUCCAGGCAAGAAUACCGCAGUGGGUUGCUGUUUCUUCCUCCAGGGGAUCUUCCCAACCCAGGGAUCAAACCAGUGUAAAUACCAAGAGACUUCUACGCUGGAUCAGCUGUCCAUAAAUUCUAAAGCUCCACAGUAUCUCUACCGCUGCUGUCCAGUCACCCAGCCGUGCCCAGCUCUUUGCAACCCCAUGGACUGCAGCACACCAGCCCUCCCUGUCCCUCAUCGUCUCCUGGAGUUUGACCAAGUUCAUGUCCAUUGCAUCGGUGAUGCCAUCCAGCCAUCUCAUCCUCUGAGGCCCUCUUCUCCUCCUGCCUUCAGUCUUUCCCAGCAUCAGGAACUUUUCCAGGGAGUCAGCUGUUCGCCUAUUAAUAUGUGUAUUUUGUUCACAAUAUCUCUAUAGUGAUCAUCAAAC